RNAcentral lists this ribosomal RNA (462 nucleotides) under Lactobacillus delbrueckii subsp. bulgaricus. Its description in RNAcentral is "partial 23S ribosomal RNA". It matches the Rfam family "Bacterial large subunit ribosomal RNA", at positions 1 to 474 of the family's 2925-position model. Lineage: Bacteria; Bacillati; Bacillota; Bacilli; Lactobacillales; Lactobacillaceae. The record is from RNAcentral.
GAAGAAGGGCGCACGGUGAAUGCCUUGGCACUGGAAGCCGAUGAAGGACGCGACUAACCGCGAAAGUCUUCGGGGAGCCGUAAGUAGGCUUUGAUCCGGAGGUCUCCGAAUGGGGGAACCCAGCAUGUGCAGACAUGCUAUCCUUAAGUGAAUACAUAGCUUAAGGAGGGAACACGCAGUGAACUGAAACAUCUAAGUAGCUGCAGGAAGAGAAAGAAAUAUCGAUUUCCCAAGUAGCGGCGAGCGAACAGGAAAGAGCCCAAACCGGCAGAUUUAUCUGCCGGGGUUGUAGGACUGAGACAUGGCACUUCAGAGGAUAGCAGAAGCGUUUGGGAAAGCGCGCCAGAGAGGGUGAGAGCCCCGUAAGCGAAAUCCAAAGAAGGCCUAUCAGUAUCCUGAGUAGGGCGGGACACGUGAAAUCCCGUUUGAAUCCGCGAGGACCAUCUCGCAAGGCUAAAUACU